AUUGAACGCUGGCGGCAUGCCUAACACAUGCAAGUCGAACGGCAGCAUGGUCUAGCUUGCUAGACUGAUGGCGAGUGGCGAACGGGUGAGUAACGCGUAGGAAUAUGCCUUAAAGAGGGGGAUAACUUGGGGAAACUCAAGCUAAUACCGCGUAAUCUCUGAGGAGAAAAGCUGGGGACCUUAUGGCCUGGCGCUUUAAGAAUAGCCUGCGUACGAUUAGCUAGUUGGUGGGGUAAGGGCUUACCAAGGCGACGAUCGUUAGCUGGUCUGAGAGGAUGGCCAGCCACACUGGGACUGAGACACGGCCCAGACUCCUACGGGAGGCAG
This 327-nucleotide ribosomal RNA is filed under the name uncultured Pseudomonadota bacterium. RNAcentral's name for it is "bacterial SSU rRNA". It matches the Rfam family "Bacterial small subunit ribosomal RNA", at positions 30 to 351 of the family's 1533-position model. Lineage: Bacteria; Pseudomonadati; Pseudomonadota. The record is from RNAcentral.